UUGGGUGUAUCUCAGUGCUAGAGGACUUGCCUAGCAUGAGAGGUCCUGGGUUCAAUCCCUAGCACCACUAAA
RNAcentral lists this transfer RNA (72 nucleotides) under Marmota monax (woodchuck). Its description in RNAcentral is "tRNA.Ala". Lineage: Eukaryota; Metazoa; Chordata; Mammalia; Rodentia; Sciuridae. The record is from RNAcentral.